AAGUCGUAACAAGGUUUCCGUAGGUGAACCUGCGGAAGGAUCAUUAACAAGAUUCUGUGCCUUCGAUCUAGUCGCAAGACUGUUCGAGGCAUAUUAGUUCGAGACAGCAAUGUCUCGUUACACAUUCACGCUUGUAUUGUUUGACAGAGUAAUGAUGUUGACAUAAUUAAUGACAACUUUUAACAAUGGAUCUCUUGGCUCUU
RNAcentral lists this unclassified non-coding RNA (203 nucleotides) under fungal sp. Its description in RNAcentral is "partial internal transcribed spacer region". The stretch from base 1 to 46 matches the Rfam family "Eukaryotic small subunit ribosomal RNA", at positions 1786 to 1831 of the family's 1831-position model. The record is from RNAcentral. Lineage: Eukaryota; Fungi.